Non-coding RNA from Schistosoma curassoni, 45 nucleotides. Lineage: Eukaryota; Metazoa; Platyhelminthes; Trematoda; Strigeidida; Schistosomatidae. The record is from Rfam.
AUUAAGUUGACGAGUCUAAAAUGGGACGAAACGUGCGUCCUAGAU